This 583-nucleotide ribosomal RNA is filed under the name uncultured Acinetobacter sp. RNAcentral's name for it is "bacterial SSU rRNA". It matches the Rfam family "Bacterial small subunit ribosomal RNA", at positions 845 to 1428 of the family's 1533-position model. Lineage: Bacteria; Pseudomonadati; Pseudomonadota; Gammaproteobacteria; Moraxellales; Moraxellaceae. The record is from RNAcentral.
GGCGCAGCUAACGCGAUAAGUAGACCGCCUGGGGAGUACGGUCGCAAGACUAAAACUCAAAUGAAUUGACGGGGCCCGCACAAGCGGUGGAGCAUGUGGUUUAAUUCGAUGCAACGCGAAGAACCUUACCUGGCCUUGACAUACUAGAAACUUUCCAGAGAUGGAUUGGUGCCUUCGGGAAUCUAGGCCACAGGUGCUGCAUGGCUGUCGUCAGCUCGUGUCGUGUGAUGUUGGGUUAAGUCCCGCAACGAGCGCAACCCUUUUCCUUACUUGCCAGCAUUUCGGAUGGGAACUUUAAGGAUACUGCCAGUGACAAACUGGAGGAAGGCGGGGACGACGUCAAGUCAUCAUGGCCCUUACGGCCAGGGCUACACACGUGCUACAAUGGUCGGUACAAAGGGUUGCUACACAGCGAUGUGAUGCUAAUCUCAAAAAGCCGAUCGUAGUCCGGAUUGGAGUCUGCAACUCGACUCCAUGAAGUCGGAAUCGCUAGUAAUCGCGGAUCAGAAUGCCGCGGUGAAUACGUUCCCGGGCCUUGUACACACCGCCCGUCACACCAUGGGAGUUUGUUGCACCAGAAGUA